Molecule: small nucleolar RNA, 124 nt
Organism: Talpa occidentalis (Iberian mole)
Lineage: Eukaryota; Metazoa; Chordata; Mammalia; Eulipotyphla; Talpidae
Product: small nucleolar RNA SNORA31
Exons: 1
Source: RefSeq, a predicted model, not a curated record
CUCAAUCCACUGUUAGACCUUGAACAAUUUGUUGGUCUUUUGGUUUGCACUAGGAUACAAAAACAAAAAUAAAUCCUUUGCUUUCUGUCUUUGUGGCAGUUUAGAUUGAUUAGGAAACACGUCU